Molecule: long non-coding RNA, 271 nt
Filed under: Elaeis guineensis (African oil palm)
Lineage: Eukaryota; Viridiplantae; Streptophyta; Magnoliopsida; Arecales; Arecaceae
Description: long non-coding RNA (EGUI_LNC073148)
Source: RNAcentral
AGGUGACAUCUUAACCAGUUCUAAUAGAGGAUACUUGCAUGUGUUCUUCAUAUCUGCUCAAGUCUUAGGAUUGUCCUUCAUCUUCCUCUUGACAUCCAUAACAAUGUAGAAAAUAUUAUUGAAUACAUUCUUCUCGAUAUGCAUGACGUCAAAGUUAUGACGGAUUAAAUUGGUGGACCAGUAGGGUAAUUCUCAGAAGAUGCUUUACUUCACCUAGUUAUAAGUUGUACCAAACCCCUGAGGCUUCUGCUUAUCAAAUUCAAUACCAAAC